GCCGGGUGUGAUGGCUCACACCUAUAAUCCCUGCACUUUGGGGGGCCGAGGCAGGAGGAUCACUUGAGGUCAGGAGUUCGAGACCAGCCUGGCCAACAUGGUGAAACCCCGUCUCUACUAACAAUGCAAAAAUUAGCUGAGCAUGGUGGCUCAUGCCUGUAAUCCCAGCUACUCUGGAGACUGAGGCAGGAGAAUCACUUGAACCUGGGAGUUGGAGGUUGCAGUGAGCUGAGAUCAUGCCACUGUACUCUAGCCUGGGCAACAGAGUGAGACUCUGCCUCU
RNAcentral lists this small RNA (282 nucleotides) under Cercocebus atys (sooty mangabey). Its description in RNAcentral is "Metazoan signal recognition particle RNA (ENSCATG00000017840.1)". Lineage: Eukaryota; Metazoa; Chordata; Mammalia; Primates; Cercopithecidae. The record is from RNAcentral.